GCAUGGCUGAAUACUGUGUUCUUUUUAUCAAUUGUUUACAUAGCCAGACAUCAUGAAAAAAAGGCAUUCUUACCUUUAAAGUGGUUAUGAUAGAGUGCCAAGUUUUUUCAUAGCACAUCAUUAGUAAAGGGAAAUACAAAU
Small nucleolar RNA from Neomonachus schauinslandi (Hawaiian monk seal), 141 nucleotides. RefSeq annotates it as small nucleolar RNA SNORA15. Lineage: Eukaryota; Metazoa; Chordata; Mammalia; Carnivora; Phocidae. The transcript has a single exon. The record is from RefSeq and is a predicted model, not a curated record.